RNAcentral lists this ribosomal RNA (717 nucleotides) under Blumea oblongifolia. Its description in RNAcentral is "eukaryotic LSU rRNA". The stretch from base 275 to 428 matches the Rfam family "5.8S ribosomal RNA". Lineage: Eukaryota; Viridiplantae; Streptophyta; Magnoliopsida; Asterales; Asteraceae. The record is from RNAcentral.
GCGGAAGGAUCAUUGUCGAAGCCUCUCAGAUAAAACCCUCGUGAACAUGUAAAAUCUCUUAGUCGUCAUAGGGACAGGUGUGUGUUUGUGACCUAUGCCUUCUACUUAAUCUGUCUUUGUGAUUUGCCGCUUAUGAGCAUUCUUGUGGUCGGGUUGACGCAACCCUAACCCCGGCACGGUACGUGCCAAGGAUAAGUUAACUGUAGGAAUGCCUGAUUCCUUGUAACCCCAAUUGCGGCCCCUACAUGGGAUUUGGAUUCUUUAUGACCAUUCCCACUCUCGGAUACGGAUAUCCCGGCUCACGCAUCGAUGAAGAACGUAUGAAAAUGCGAUACUUAAUGUGAAUUGCCAAUCCCCAGAACCAUUUUGUUUUUGAACGCAAGUUGCGCCUGAUGGUUUCGGUUGAGGGCACCUCUGCCUGGGCGUCACGUAUUGCUUUGUUUCUAAACCAUGCCUCCUUAAAGGGAUGUGUGGGUUAGGGGCGGAUACUGGCCUCCCGUGCCUGUGGCGUGGUUGGUUGAAAUUACCCUUCUCCUUUUGAUGAACACACGACAAGUGGUGGUUGACUCGACCUUAGUCUCGUGUUUGUGUCCAUUGAUUUCUACGAAGACCUUAACAUUUUACCCUAACGUGCCAUGUUGCGUACGCGCUUCCAUCGCGACCCCGAGUCCCGUGGGAUUACCCGCUGAGUUUAAGCAUAACGAUAAGCGGGAGGAA